CUGCUUCUACUUUCUGUAUGGAGCUGUGAGCGUCUGCCUGUUGGACGCCCGAAGAGCGUCAGGUUUGAUCCUUGGUAUGCAGAUGAACAUGACGAAUUAUGGCGCCCCACGUGCGCUUACAAGUGGGAUAUCGUUUCCGAGAUGACGAACGAUGUCAAUCUCAUGUACCAAAAGUACAUUGCCGAGUUGGACACGAUUACGCCUGAGCAGGUAAGGAGGUCAUUACUUUAG
This 231-nucleotide ribosomal RNA is filed under the name Triticum aestivum (bread wheat). Its description in RNAcentral is "partial small subunit ribosomal RNA". Lineage: Eukaryota; Viridiplantae; Streptophyta; Magnoliopsida; Poales; Poaceae. The record is from RNAcentral.